CGAGUACUCCCUCCGUCCGGAAAUACUUGUCGAAGCAAUGGAUGUAUCUAGACGUAUAUUAGUUUUAGAUACGUCCAUUUUUAUGCAUUUCUCCGACAAGUAUUUCCAGACGGAGGGAGUACUUU
Molecule: non-coding RNA, 125 nt
Organism: Triticum aestivum (bread wheat)
Lineage: Eukaryota; Viridiplantae; Streptophyta; Magnoliopsida; Poales; Poaceae
Source: Rfam